GAGGGUAUAGCUCAAGUGGUAGAGCACAUGCUUAGCAUGCAUGAGGUCCUGAGUUCAAUCCCCAGUACCUCCU
Molecule: transfer RNA, 73 nt
Filed under: Camelus bactrianus (Bactrian camel)
Lineage: Eukaryota; Metazoa; Chordata; Mammalia; Artiodactyla; Camelidae
Also listed under: 2 other names
Rfam family: tRNA
About the family: Transfer RNA (tRNA) molecules are approximately 80 nucleotides in length.
Source: Rfam by way of RNAcentral